Eriocheir sinensis (Chinese mitten crab) is the source of this 1324-nucleotide long non-coding RNA. RefSeq lists it as uncharacterized. Lineage: Eukaryota; Metazoa; Arthropoda; Malacostraca; Decapoda; Varunidae. The record is from RefSeq and is a predicted model, not a curated record. The transcript is spliced from 4 exons.
CAGGGGCAGGGGAGUAGGCUAGGGGCAAGGAGAUUCCCAGUCGUGUAGGAAGGGUCCUGGAGGGAGGAUGAUGUCUGGUCUGGUUGUCUCCUGCAGCGCCUUCUUCGUCUCCUGCUGCUGCCGGUGGUCCUGGCAAGCAGAUGAGAGGUCGAGGCAUCCAUCAGAACAAGAUCUUCCACCGUCUACUAAGCACUGUGCAAAGCAUGUCAAGUCGCCCCAGUUGAACACCCACGCAGGCUUUUGUGAAUGCUAUAUAUUCCUGAGCCUUCUAUGAAAAGUUGGAAUGUGUUUCUAAGCUGAAAGGAAGACUGGAAGACAGACAAACCAGUUAUCUUCCUCUGCAUCGUAGCUGGACGGAAGGCAAGGAGGGAGCAGGGGUUUUACAUGCUGGCAAGUGUUGCGAGCCCCUUUAACUAGCCUGGAUGGAGAGAUGGAUGGAGAAGCCUGUUUGGGAGAAUGGGAGAUAUUCAUCAGCUGCUUCCCAAAAACUUUAAAUGCAACACUACAGUGCUCGAGAUUGAACGCAAGCCUUCUGAGCAGAUGUCAAGGCAGCAGUGUACCAACUGAACCACUGAUGAGUUAAAAUGUCAUGGAGCCAGGGGCCGCAUCUGCCAGACUUUACCUGACUGUCACCCCAGUGGUCACUGUUGACUUAAACAAAAUGUGACCUCACCCAUGGUAGCUGGAAACUUGACCUCCAAUGGCAGAUACAGUGUUUAUAUACAUUAGAGAAACUUCAAUAAUGCAGUUAAAAAUCUCCGGUUUUAAACAUCACAGAGUGCCAGGGAUUGAACCCAGGCCUUCGGAGUAGAAGUCAAGGCAGCAUACCAACAGAGUCACUGAUGAGCUGGAAGGGCACCGUGUCCAGAGUUAGGGACUGAGAUAUCUACCUGGUAAAGUGCCACAAAAGUGGUCCCUGGCACGGUGACCUUCUAGCUCAGUUGGUAAGCUGCACCGGUUUCUACCCUGACGGCCUGGGUUAGAGAUUCCACGCACUCAGCGGUGUUGCAUUUAAAGAUUUUUCCCUGCAUUACUGGAAUUUCUCUAAUGCUUAUAAACACUAUGUGCCAUUGUGGGGGUCAUCUUUCCUUCAUGGCCACAGUGUGGGACUGGGGAGACGGGUAAAGUCCCACAGAAGUGGCCCCUGACAUAGUGACCUUUAAGCCCCUCAAUGGCUCAGUUGGUAUGCUGCCCCAACUCAUGCUCAGAAGGCCUGGAUUUGACUGCUGGUACCUAUUGGUGUUGUUACUUAGAGAUCUUUCACUGUUGCAAUUCCUCUACCUUCUCAUAUGUCCGAAAGACAAUAAAUAAUGGGAUUAUUAAA